This 491-nucleotide ribosomal RNA is filed under the name uncultured bacterium. Its description in RNAcentral is "partial 16S ribosomal RNA". It matches the Rfam family "Bacterial small subunit ribosomal RNA", at positions 28 to 507 of the family's 1533-position model. The record is from RNAcentral.
GAUGAACGCUGGCUACAGGCUUAACACAUGCAAGUCGAGGGGAAACGCCGGGGAAGCUUGCUUCCCCGGGCGUCGACCGGCGCACGGGUGAGUAACGCGUAUCCAACCUGCCUCUGACUGAGGGAUAACCCGUCGAAAGUCGGCCUAAUACCUCAUGGCAUCGUCUGCGGGCAUCCAACGACGAUUAAAGAUUUCAUCGGUCAGAGAUGGGGAUGCGUCUGAUUAGCUUGUUGGCGGGGUAACGGCCCACCAAGGCGACGAUCAGUAGGGGUUCUGAGAGGAAGGGCCCCGACAUUGGAACUGGGACACGGGCCAAACGCCUACGGGAGGCAGCAGUGAGGAAGAUUGGUCAAUGGGCGAGAGCCUGAACCAGCCAAGUAGAGUGCAGGAUGACGGCCCUAUGGGUGGUAAACUGCUUUUAUGCGGGGAUAAAGUGAGGGACGUGUCCUUCAUUGAAGGUACCGCAUGAAUAAGGACCGGCUAAUUCCGUG